GCUAGGGGAGCAAAUGCUGAGAUCGCCUUGGGCGAACCCUCAUUACCUGAUCCGGUUAAUGCCGGCGUAGGGAAGCAUCUAUA
RNAcentral lists this non-coding RNA (83 nucleotides) under bovine gut metagenome. Its description in RNAcentral is "TPP riboswitch (THI element)". It matches the Rfam family "TPP riboswitch aptamer (THI element)", at positions 8 to 91 of the family's 105-position model. From Rfam's summary of the family: Vitamin B(1) in its active form thiamin pyrophosphate (TPP) is an essential coenzyme that is synthesised by coupling of pyrimidine and thiazole moieties in bacteria. The previously detected thiamin-regulatory element, thi box was extended, resulting in a new, highly conserved RNA secondary structure, the THI element, which is widely distributed in eubacteria and also occurs in some archaea. Analysis of operon structures identified a large number of new candidate thiamin-regulated genes, mostly transporters, in various prokaryotic organisms. The record is from RNAcentral.